RNAcentral lists this ribosomal RNA (397 nucleotides) under uncultured bacterium. Its description in RNAcentral is "partial 16S ribosomal RNA". It matches the Rfam family "Bacterial small subunit ribosomal RNA", at positions 523 to 918 of the family's 1533-position model. The record is from RNAcentral.
AUACGUAGGGGGCGAGCGUUGUCCGGAAUGAUUGGGCGUAAAGGGCGCGUAGGCGGCCUGUUAAGUCUGGAGUGAAAGUCCCGCUUUUAAGGUGGGAAUUGCUUUGGAAACUGGCGGGCUUGAGUGCAGGAGAGGUUAGUGGAAUUCCCGGUGUAGCGGUGAAAUGCGUAGAGAUCGGGAGGAACACCAGUGGCGAAGGCGACUAACUGGACUGUAACUGACGCUGAGGCGCGAAAGUGUGGGGAGCAAACAGGAUUGGAUACCCUGGUAGUCCACACGGUAAACGAUGAAUGCUAGGUGUAGGGGGUAUCGACCCCUUCUGUGCCGGAGUAAACACAAUAAGCAUUCCGCCUGGGGAGUACGGCCGCAAGGUUGAAACUCAAAUGAAUUGACGGGG